RNAcentral lists this transfer RNA (86 nucleotides) under uncultured Clostridium sp. It matches the Rfam family "tRNA". Rfam says of the family: Transfer RNA (tRNA) molecules are approximately 80 nucleotides in length. Their secondary structure includes four short double-helical elements and three loops (D, anti-codon, and T loops). Lineage: Bacteria; Bacillati; Bacillota; Clostridia; Eubacteriales; Clostridiaceae. The record is from RNAcentral.
GAGAGAUGGUCGAGUUGGUUUAAGGCACCGGUCUUGAAAACCGGCGUACCUUUGCGGGUACCCAGGGUUCGAAUCCCUGUCUCUCC